GGGCUAAUGGUCUAGUGGUAUGAUUUCUGUUUUGCAAUGCCUUGUCUUACAAUACAGACGGUCCCGCGUUCAAUCCGCGGUUAGUCCA
Sordaria macrospora k-hell is the source of this 88-nucleotide non-coding RNA. Lineage: Eukaryota; Fungi; Ascomycota; Sordariomycetes; Sordariales; Sordariaceae. The record is from the annotation of a RefSeq genome assembly.